RNAcentral lists this ribosomal RNA (492 nucleotides) under uncultured bacterium. Its description in RNAcentral is "partial 16S ribosomal RNA". It matches the Rfam family "Bacterial small subunit ribosomal RNA", at positions 29 to 507 of the family's 1533-position model. The record is from RNAcentral.
AGUGAACGCUGGCGGUAGGCCUAAUACAUGCAAGUCGAACGGCAGCACAGUAAGAGCUUGCUCUUACGGGUGGCGAGUGGCGGACGGGUGAGGAAUACAUCGGAAUCUACUUUUUCGUGGGGGAUAACGUAGGGAAACUUACGCUAAUACCGCAUACGACCUACGGGUGAAAGCAGGGGAUCUUCGGACCUUGCGCGAUUGAAUGAGCCGAUGUCGGAUUAGCUAGUUGGCGGGGUAAAGGCCCACCAAGGCGACGAUCCGUAGCUGGUCUGAGAGGAUGAUCAGCCACACUGGAACUGAGACACGGUCCAGACUCCUACGGGAGGCAGCAGUGGGGAAUAUUGGACAAUGGGCGAAAGCCUGAUCCAGCCAUACCGCGUGGGUGAAGAAGGCCUUCGGGUUGUAAAGCCCUUUUGUUGGGAAAGAAAAGCAGCAGGUUAAUACCCCGCUGUUCUGACGGUACCCAAAGAAUAAGCACCGGCUAACUUCGUG